This is a long non-coding RNA of Nematostella vectensis (starlet sea anemone), 582 nucleotides long. RefSeq lists it as uncharacterized. The record is from RefSeq and is a predicted model, not a curated record. The transcript is spliced from 3 exons. Lineage: Eukaryota; Metazoa; Cnidaria; Anthozoa; Actiniaria; Edwardsiidae.
CAGCGCUCAGAGGAGUACGCUACUGUUAAGUCCCGUUAGUUGUAAAUAAACGCGUCACUUAUGGUAGCUACAUAUCGUGUGAUUCUCCCAGAGGGACAAGUCUAUAAAGCUGCAAAAAAGAUCUGUCAUGUGAUCAUAAGAUCGUUAAUCGAUAAAGUCGUCAAAGGGUCGUCAAAAAGCUCAAGAGAUCUGCGCAUCUGCAAUCUGAACGCAAAAGAACUAAACUAAGAAACAGGUCUUAAUUCCAUUGAAACGAUAAAAAAGAUCGUCAUGCGCCAGUUUGACAAGCCAAGUGGGCGGUAGAAACUGGGAUGUUCAUCGAGAAUGUGAAGGAAAUGCUUGAUGUUGGCGGGGUAUGCGUGCUGGUCGAUCUGCCGACAUUUGCUGACCUACGCAAGACCGAGACAAGCCGCAAAACCGAAACAAGCCGCAAGAAUGAGACAAACCGCAAGAUCGAGACAAGCCGCAAGACCGAGACAAGCCGCAAGAACAAGACCUAGCUGCAAGAUCAAGACAAGCCGCAAGACCAAGACAAGCCACAAGACCAAGACCAAGCCGCAAGACCAAGACAAGCCGCAAUAC